GACGAACGCUGGCGGCGUGCUUAACACAUGCAAGUCGAACGGUAAGGCCCCAGCUUGCUGGGGUACACGAGUGGCGAACGGGUGAGUAACACGUGGGUGACCUGCCCUGCACUUCGGGAUAAGCCUGGGAAACUGGGUCUAAUACCGGAUAGGACCGCACCGUGAGGGUGUGGUGGAAAGUUUUUUCGGUGUGGGAUGGGCCCGCGGCCUAUCAGCUUGUUGGUGGGGUAAUGGCCUACCAAGGCGGCGACGGGUAGCCGGCCUGAGAGGGUGGACGGCCACAUUGGGACUGAGACACGGCCCAGACUCCUACGGGAGGCAGCAGUGGGGAAUAUUGCACAAUGGGCGGAAGCCUGAUGCAGCGACGCCGCGUGGGGGAUGACGGCCUUCGGGUUGUAAACUCCUUUCACCAUCGACGAAGGGUUUCUGACGGUAGAUGGAGAAGAAGCACCGGCUAACUACGUGCCAGCAGCCGCGGUAAUACGUAGGGUGCGAGCGUUGUCCGGAAUUACUGGGCGUAAAGAGCUCGUAGGUGGUUUGUCGCGUCGUCUGUGAAAUUCCGGGGCUUAACUCCGGGCGUGCAGGCGAUACGGGCAUAACUUGAGUACUGUAGGGGAGACUGGAAUUCCUGGUGUAGCGGUGAAAUGCGCAGAUAUCAGGAGGAACACCGGUGGCGAAGGCGGGUCUCUGGGCAGUAACUGACGCUGAGGAGCGAAAGCAUGGGGAGCGAACAGGAUUAGAUACCCUGGUAGUCCAUGCCGUAAACGGUGGGCGCUAGGUGUGGGUUUCCUUCCACGGGAUCCGUGCCGUAGCUAACGCAUUAAGCGCCCCGCCUGGGGAGUACGGCCGCAAGGCUAAAACUCAAAGGAAUUGACGGGGGCCCGCACAAGCGGCGGAGCAUGUGGAUUAAUUCGAUGCAACGCGAAGAACCUUACCUGGGCUUGACAUAUACAGGAUCGCGCCAGAGAUGGUGUUUCCCUUGUGGCUUGUAUACAGGUGGUGCAUGGUUGUCGUCAGCUCGUGUCGUGGGAUGUUGGGUUAAGUCCCGCAACGAGCGCAACCCUUGUCUUAUGUUGCCAGCACGUUGUGGUGGGGACUCGUAAGAAACUGCCGGGGUUAACUCGGAGGAAGGUGGGGAUGACGUCAAAUCAUCAUGCCCCUUAUGUCCAGGGCUUCACACAUGCUACAAUGGUCGGUACAGUGGGUUGCCAGUCCGUGAGGGCGAGCUAAUCCCGCAAAGCCGGUCUCAGUUCGGAUCGGGGUCUGCAACUCGACCCCGUGAAGUCGGAGUCGCUAGUAAUCGCAGAUCAGCAACGCUGCGGUGAAUACGUUCCCGGGCCU
RNAcentral lists this ribosomal RNA (1341 nucleotides) under uncultured bacterium. RNAcentral describes it as "16S ribosomal RNA". It matches the Rfam family "Bacterial small subunit ribosomal RNA", at positions 28 to 1381 of the family's 1533-position model. The record is from RNAcentral.